RNAcentral lists this unclassified non-coding RNA (252 nucleotides) under Hevea brasiliensis (rubber tree). The record is from RNAcentral. Lineage: Eukaryota; Viridiplantae; Streptophyta; Magnoliopsida; Malpighiales; Euphorbiaceae.
AGACAAGCAAAGGAGGUCCAUUCUCAACAGCUGUCCGAGUAUGUUCGUGAUGAUGACCAUUGUGAUGGUUUCUUGUCAUUUGGAUGUGGUUUAAAUGUGUUCUUUUCUUCGCAUAAGGAGCGUCUCUCACAGCCAUUCUUUUAGCGCGCAGGAUAUUUUGCCGCCUUUUCCACCAACAUGUUAUGCAUGUAGCGAUAACUACAACAGCGACACACGCCCCUAACCCAAUGCCGAUUUUGGCACCAAUAGUAA